UGGGUUGGCCAAAAAGUUCAUUUGGUUUUUUUGUCAGAUGUUAUAAGAAAACCUGAGUGAACUUUCUGGCCAACUGGAU
This 79-nucleotide microRNA precursor is filed under the name Ovis aries (sheep). Its description in RNAcentral is "miRNA (ENSOARG00000024468.1)". The record is from RNAcentral. Lineage: Eukaryota; Metazoa; Chordata; Mammalia; Artiodactyla; Bovidae.